UGGGUUCGAUCACUUCUUUUAAAUGAGGGGAAAAGAGAAUAGAAUAGAAGAAUAAGAAAAAAAAGAGAGAAAUGCACAGUGGUUGUCACGGUGGGAGAGGCGGCGCUUGGGGUGGUGAUCGGAGAGAACAAGAGAGGAAAGAUGCAGCAAAGCAAUGACUCAAUGGUGAGGUGGUGGAGGUGCAAGGCUAGUUAUGGCUUAAAAGAAGAGAAAAAAAUAAAAAGGAGAAUAAAUGUUAACCAAAAAUAUAGAAAAAAUGAAAAAGGGAGAGAUUGGGGCGGAGCUAAUGGUGGGACGAUUAUGAGAGGGAGUGUAUGCCAAAUUGGGUGAGAAGGAUAGUGGUCAACCAUGACUAGGUUCAUUGAAUAUCACACAAG
This 377-nucleotide long non-coding RNA is filed under the name Gossypium raimondii (Peruvian cotton). Its description in RNAcentral is "long non-coding RNA (GRAI_LNC001288)". The record is from RNAcentral. Lineage: Eukaryota; Viridiplantae; Streptophyta; Magnoliopsida; Malvales; Malvaceae.